CGGGGGGUGGCGCAGCUUGGUAGCGCGCUUCGUUCGGGACGAAGAGGUCGUGGGUUCAAAUCCCGCCACCCCGA
RNAcentral lists this transfer RNA (74 nucleotides) under Bifidobacteriaceae bacterium. Its description in RNAcentral is "tRNA-Pro". It matches the Rfam family "tRNA". Rfam says of the family: Transfer RNA (tRNA) molecules are approximately 80 nucleotides in length. Their secondary structure includes four short double-helical elements and three loops (D, anti-codon, and T loops). Lineage: Bacteria; Bacillati; Actinomycetota; Actinomycetes; Bifidobacteriales; Bifidobacteriaceae. The record is from RNAcentral.